Molecule: long non-coding RNA, 605 nt
Filed under: Panax ginseng (ginseng)
Lineage: Eukaryota; Viridiplantae; Streptophyta; Magnoliopsida; Apiales; Araliaceae
Description: long non-coding RNA (PGIN_LNC005303)
Source: RNAcentral
CCGACCUUCAUAGCUUAGUCUCAUGUUCCUCUACUUGCCAUUCACAAGAUUCAACAAAAUCACCCACAACAUGAAGAGGAGAAGAGGGAGAAACUCAUUCAGCCCAAAAUCUACGAAAAAGAGGAAAUAAUUAUCAAAAAAUCUAAAACGAGGGUUUAGAAUAAAUCCCUUUUAAACCCACCAUUUAAGCCGAUCCCAUUCAAAUUCUGACCACCGACGGAGCCACUGAUUGAGCCGAUAUCGGAGGAAUCAAUCUUCCAGCUAUGAUUAAACCCAUUAAAAUCUGUCUUCAAAUUACUUUUGGUACCAUUAUUAUUACCACUCAGUGAGUCAACCGAGUUGAGGCCGCCGCCAACCCGAAUAUCGACGUUGCGCCGUUCUUCCAGCCUUUUGGCGCCGCCGUAGGAGGUGCUCCAGUCUCCAGACUGAGUCGUUGAGAGAGAGAUUGGCUAGAUUAUUAUUGGUCUGUACAUGAAGCUGAUCACUGAAUUGCCAGAAAGAAGACUGAUUGUUAUUCUCCAUCUGAAAAAAAUCAAUCUUAAUUAUUUUCCUGAACAAAAUAUAUGUAAUAUAUGUAUAUGUAUGGAGAUUUAGAGACGAAGGAG